AAGUGUUACGGCUCUUUUAGAAUCUGUCUAGCAGGCUCCCCCCUCCCUCGAUUUCUUAGCCCCC
This 64-nucleotide small nuclear RNA is filed under the name Microcebus murinus (gray mouse lemur). RNAcentral's name for it is "U7 small nuclear RNA (ENSMICG00000025404.3)". It matches the Rfam family "U7 small nuclear RNA". Rfam says of the family: Animal histone pre-mRNAs are spliced by a different mechanism than nuclear pre-mRNAs and self-splicing introns. This processing involves the U7 snRNP, which contains only one RNA species: U7. The record is from Rfam by way of RNAcentral. Lineage: Eukaryota; Metazoa; Chordata; Mammalia; Primates; Cheirogaleidae.